Long non-coding RNA from Cephus cinctus (wheat stem sawfly), 4052 nucleotides. RefSeq lists it as uncharacterized. NCBI's taxonomy places the organism in Eukaryota, Metazoa, Arthropoda, Insecta, Hymenoptera, Cephidae. The transcript is spliced from 7 exons. The record is from RefSeq and is a predicted model, not a curated record.
UGGGUUGGCUGCUCUUGUGAAUUCUUGUAGAGAUUGCAUUUCUUUCGCAUUCAUUGUCUAUGUCUUAUGUUUUUACUGCUUUUCGUAGGCACUUCUAGUUUAUUCGUGUUCACUGUUGUUGUUUAUCGGGACGAUUUUAUUCCUUCAAACGGGAUUAAACGCCAGAAUCAGUCAGAAUUCGAAGCGGAGGUCGCGAGGAAUGACGUAAAGCGAUUUUCCGGAUUGAACGUAUGAACUGAGUCGUUUUUCUUUUUUCUUAAUGUCACGGGAGGAUGUUCGACUUUACGAAAGCGAUGAACUUUGGAUUGAAGUCUUGUUCGAAAUUAUUUUAUGGCAAAUGGAAUAUAGUCGAUGUUAACGACUACGUAUAGCACUGACAUCGACCUGCUUUUAUAAAUUGUCUGGAAAUAAUGGAUUUCCUUGAGAAGAUUCUAUACUUGGUGCCAAGUGCUAUGUUGGAAUCGUUUGGGAAUUUUGAAACGGAGCUUUUCAUUGUUUCGAUUAAAAUAUGGCGGCUAAAGAUUAAAUUGUAUGAAAUACAGGUGAUUUGAGUUUUGUGAUUUUUGACAUAACUGUGCGAUUGGAUUUAAAAAUCUCAUAGCGGAGAACAAACGAGACUUGAUUUAUUCGUAUAAAUAUUUUAAGAACAGGUGAGAUCGAAUUUUCUGUAUAAUUUUAUUUAGUUUGUAAACGUUCAAGUGUCAUUUCCCUUAGUGAAAAAUCAUUAAAUUCUCUGAAUACUAAUGAUUCAUAUUUCUUUCUUUCUUUACUGGGGAUUUCUCACAGUCAUAGCUCUGCAUUGCAUUUAUUAUAAUACUUUUUAAUUCAAUGAAAAUUAAUGCCUUCACAUAUAUAGUAUCAAUGAAACUUUCAUCAUUAGUGCUUCAUACUCCAUUUCCCUACACAAGUCUCCACAUCAAACGUUGAUAACCUAUAAAGGGAUAGAGUUUCCACUCUAUAUACGUUAUAGGAAUAUAAUAUCACUUUCAUCGAUUUCCUUCAGAUUAAUAAAAUAUCAAGAGCCCGCACAUAACUCGCUUGCUUUUUGUUUCGCAAACUUUUAAUUGCUUCUACUAGCCUAGUCUUCUUCUCGUUUUAUAGAGGUUAAUGUAUUCCAAAUGGAAGAUUAGGAACUCCAUCAUGAUUCGUAGUUUUACAACCUGGAGAUAAAGGGACAAUCAUUUUGACAAAAUUUUUUUCACUACUCGUGAUAAACUACUCGGCCAUUUUCGGAGAUACGUUGUCUCAUUCGUUUGCAUGAAAUGUAUUCAAGUAUUUCAAUUUCUCUGAAUGGCUUAGCGGAAUGCUGGAAGAGAUGAGUGAGUGAGUGACUGUUCUUUACACGUAAAAUUUUUCCAAUUUCUCCGAAAAUUCUAAAGGCUCGUAUAUAUCUUUUAUGUUUUAUUGAAAUAUAUAGAAAUUGUCGCCGCUUGCCAGGAAUCCUUUCCUUGGUAAUCGUAAUAUAUGUUUACACGUUUCGCUACCAGAAUGGAUAUACAGGUGCAUAUAUCUAUACAUUAUCUUCAUAUGUAUGUACAUACAUGCAUAAACAAAAAGGGAAAUAAGUUGUCCAAUAUAGUAUAUCAAAGUAGGCAAACAUGUUUUGGUAAAAAAUAUUACAAAAAAGCAGUCGAAGUAUUUAGAAAAUUUAAUUGAUGUAAUUGCAAAUCUAAUUCCAAAUCUCGAUUCGGUACGCGAACCAAAUUAAAUUGGUAUUCUUGCCAUUUUCUACAAGGAAACUAAUUUUACGCUCGAGAAUUAUUGACGAGGUAAUUGAAAAAAAUUUAAUGUUGCUCAUUGGCCUUCUUACGUCAUUUUAUGAAUUUUCAAUAAAGUUAUCAAUGGGUGUGGUGGAUUUUGACUGUCCAUUAGACAUUGUGUAACGUGAUACACUCUGAAGGUUAAUUGAGCUUUGAUUCUUACGUCUAUUUAUAAGAUCGAUGUAAUGGAAGUGUAUCUUCUCUUUUAUUAUGAAUGAUUCAUUUUCGUGGUUGCCUCUUGUUACGAAAUUGAAAUAAAAUCUUUUUUUUUCAUUUCAUCAGAAACUGUAUACCGUAAGUCAAUUUGCAAGUCAGAAUUUGAAUAUAGUAAAUGAAUUUUUCUAGCGUUCCUUCAGAUCACUGAGGGACUUGAUACGAUUAUGGAAAGUUUAUAUUUUCAGAAAAGAAAAACGUGCACAAACUUCCCUUUGGGGAAUAAUUAGCCGUAAAUCUUUGAAUAUAUGCUUUAAAUGUGUAAUAACAUCACGUAACUUCAUUAUCCCCUUUUGCUAAUUAAGCUUGAGCUUCGUGGCUAUUUACAAGCUUGGCAUGACGAGUAGUCGUAUUUUUAAGUGAAACAUUUCCACGUUAUUUCUCUUUUUAAAAUCAACAGUGCAACAUAACCUUUUGAUCGUUUUUCUCGAUGUAAAAGUUAUAUACAAUUACACUAGCAAUAAUUCAUAUAUGAAGUAUAUGAAAUAAUUGUUUUCUUUUUAAAUAAUUUUAUAGAUUAAGUAAAUGCAAAAUCAUAAACUCAUUUGACAAGUCAAACCGCUUUAAUCUGAUGAUAUUAACAGUUGGGUGUGCUAUUUACACAGUUGACGCAACGAGGUACGUGAAAACUUGACAAGGACUGAAUUCUCAUAGGAGGUGUUCACAAUAAAGGAAAAGUUUGCAAAGCAAUUUCUAUUGUUCCAAGCAGAGUGUUAAUUGGAUGAAACGUCGAAGGGAUCGAUGAGAAAACUAAAAGCAUCUCCUGUUUCUUCGGUGUUAUUGCAAUUAUGGGAAUGAGAGUGCAAAAAAUUUGACAAGCUCAGCCGUGAUGAUUUUAUAAAAAGAUUCUGUCUUACCCCAAGGAAUUUGAAUGUUUCGACAAAUUUUUUUUUUUUUUUUUUUAAAUAUUCUCCUUAAGGACACAUGUAUUUUGAUUAGACGCGAUGGUCCACGAAUUUUCCUGCCCUUUGAGAUUCUCUGGAAAUGAAAAAAAAAACCAACCCUGACCUGCAGCCGCAGGAGGGUGGCCGCGUAUCAGAAGGGCGCGCCGUGCGAAAACUGUCCCGUUUGGCAAGACGAUAGAGCAAGGAGCGAACGAUAGUGGGGCACCAACCGACGUCCCGACGCCGACGCUAAAGCCGGAGUCGACGUCGGGGAUGUUACUCAAGGCGCAGACGCCGCUCGAUAAAACCCCCUGGCCCCGUGAUCUGCCCCUUCUGUUCCCAAAACCGUGAAUCCCAUCUACUAGAGUCACCGGCUCGCCAACCGGGAUAUGCGAUCUGCAUUGAAAUGCUAAUAAAAGCCUGAAUGGAUACCACGUAUUGAGUAUUUACACGGCACACACAUUUUCUACUGAUCCAUAUGAACCAAACACCAUUCAAAGCAAAUGAAAAAAACCCACAUGAUAAAUCAGAUAGUAAUCAGAUAGUCUUUUAAAUUACAUACUUAAUUAUCAAACGCGCAUAUAACAAUUGGAUUUCAAGAAUAAAAGUUUUGAAUUUCCAUUUUCAACCGAAAUUCCGUCCACAGGAUAGAAUAACAUGAAUAGUAUAGUCGAAGUGAAAAGAGAAUAACGAGGACGGCCAAUACUCUAUUCGGUACUUGCUCUAACCCAGGACAAUGGCGAGUUUUUCACAGACAAUGGAACCUCGUUGACGUUUCGAUGGUAUCGCUUUAAAUUCUCAUUUAACGAUCGAGCUGUCUCUCAUUGCGGUUUCCUGAAGGCUUUGGCUUCGAGACCUCAUGCAUUUCAAAGACUGUGGACGGUAGCUAAACCGUCCCUCGAACCGUACCACUUGUCUGCUACUUAGUCAACCCCGAAGCAAGCCACUUGAGAAGCUCCGGGCGUGUUUUCCACCCUGGAGAGACUCUUGAUAUGUGAGAGAAUGGAUACUGCCUAGGGGUAUGGCUUACAGUUAUCAUUCAAACCCGAAGGCGCUGACACAAAAUAAACUUCAAGGCAAACUGGCUGAUGUACCGACUGUUCUAUCCUGGAGAUUCUUCGUCGCCCAUCGAAUGACUCAUCCUGGCAGAAGAUUGCGGCCUUUUGCAGCGGGUAUGUAAAAAUUGCCACCGGUG